Molecule: transfer RNA, 71 nt
Rfam family: tRNA
About the family: Transfer RNA (tRNA) molecules are approximately 80 nucleotides in length. Their secondary structure includes four short double-helical elements and three loops (D, anti-codon, and T loops). Further hydrogen bonds mediate the characteristic L-shaped molecular structure. tRNAs have two regions of fundamental functional importance: the anti-codon, which is responsible for specific mRNA codon recognition, and the 3' end, to which the tRNAs corresponding amino acid is attached (by aminoacyl-tRNA synthetases). tRNAs cope with the degeneracy of the genetic code in two manners: having more than one tRNA (with a specific anti-codon) for a particular amino acid; and 'wobble' base-pairing, i.e. permitting non-standard base-pairing at the 3rd anti-codon position.
Source: Rfam
UACGGAUUAAUGUAAUGGUAACAUAUUUGACUCAUGAUCAAUUUAUUUAGGUUCGAAUCCUAAAUCCGUAU